GUCGAACGGUAACAGGUCUUCGGACGCUGACGAGUGGCGAACGGGUGAGUAAUACAUCGGAACGUGCCCAGUCGUGGGGGAUAACUACUCGAAAGAGUAGCUAAUACCGCAUACGAUCUGAGGAUGAAAGCGGGGGACCUUCGGGCCUCGCGCGAUUGGAGCGGCCGAUGGCAGAUUAGGUAGUUGGUGGGAUAAAAGCUUACCAAGCCGACGAUCUGUAGCUGGUCUGAGAGGACGACCAGCCACACUGGGACUGAGACACGGCCCAGACUCCUACGGGAGGCAGCAGUGGGGAAUUUUGGACAAUGGGCGAAAGCCUGAUCCAGCAAUGCCGCGUGCAGGAUGAAGGCCUUCGGGUUGUAAACUGCUUUUGUACGGAACGAAAAAGCUUCUCCUAAUACGAGAGGCCCAUGACGGUACCGUAAGAAUAAGCACCGGCUAACUACGUGCCAGCAGCCGCGGUAAUACGUAGGGUGCGAGCGUUAAUCGGAAUUACUGGGCGUAAAGCGUGCGCAGGCGGUUAUGUAAGACAGAUGUGAAAUCCCCGGGCUCAACCUGGGAACUGCAUUUGUGACUUGCAUGGCUAGAGUACGGUAGAGGGGGAUGGAAUUCCGCGUGUAGCAGUGAAAUGCGUAGAUAUGCGGAGGACACCGAUGGCGAAGGCAA
Molecule: ribosomal RNA, 666 nt
Filed under: uncultured beta proteobacterium
Lineage: Bacteria; Pseudomonadati; Pseudomonadota; Betaproteobacteria
Description: bacterial SSU rRNA
Rfam family: Bacterial small subunit ribosomal RNA
Source: RNAcentral